CAAUAAUAAUCAGCUCUACUUUAAGAGUGGACCGAACCACUCGUGUUUCCAUUCUCUCCCCCCUCUUUUUCUACUUCCGAUCUAUUCUUAUUUCGGCCUCCCCUGACUACUAGUUUUUCUUUUGUAUCAUUCGCUUUUAGUCGACAACGAGCCCCAGUGGCCCUAUUUUGACAGUCAAUUAAAUAUAGUGCAUCACGUGUGCAAAUAGUAGGAGGGAAACUUCGUUUCCAUACGUUCGCACACGGAUUUUCAAAGGUCCAAUUUAAAUAUUUCCCUUCUAGAUUUUCGGCUGGAUAAUUUCCGUAUUGCUCCAACAUGACUAUUCCCGAAAGUGAUUCAAUUCGACAACGCUCAUCUCAAGACGAUACGAAUAAAAAUCGUACAGAAUCUUUAUCAAAAGACGAUCAUGGACAUAGUAGUUCGACCAACAGUAUUAAUGACAGUAGCUUAACCGAUGCCGUGUCAAACAUUAAAGAUGAACUGCAAAUGAAUCGACGGGUGGGGCUCUUCAGCGGCGUUGCUCUCGUCGUGGGAACAAUGAUCGGCUCCGGUAUCUUCGUGUCGCCAGGAAAUCUUCUUGGGAAUGCAGGGUCUCCAGGUCUUUGCCUCGUCCUCUGGGGUGUCUGUGGUGUAUAUUCUUUACUAGGUGCCAUAUCUUAUUGCGAGAUCGGAACGCUGAUACCAAAAUCUGGCGGCGAGUAUAUUUACUUUCUGGAAGCCUUCGGACACACGCACAAGUUCUUCGGCCCGAUCUUGGCUUUCAUAUUUGCGUGGACUGUGGUUUUUCUAUUGAAACCAUCUUCACUCGCAAUUUUAUCACUUUCGUUCGCCAAAUAUUUGACUUCUCCAAUUCUGACGGCAGUAGAUUUCUGCACUGAUGAUACCUACCUCUAUUACGUGAUAAAUCGACUAGUGGCCUCAUUAUGCAUAGGUCUGAUUACAUUUGUAAACUGUUACUCUGUAACAGCUGCAACGAGGGUGCAAAACAUUUUCACGGUGGCGAAACUGACGGCCAUCGCCAUUGUCAUUGGCGGAGGGUUGUAUUAUCUCGGUUUAGGAUACACUGAGAACCUUGAAAUCGGAUUCGAAGGGUCAGCCUCGUCUUUUGGACAAAUAGUGACGGCCUUCUACGGCGGCCUUUGGGCUUACGAUGGAUGGAAUAAUUUAAAUUUCAUCACCGAAGAACUACAGAAUCCAUACAGGAAUCUGCCGCUGGCCAUUAUUAUUGCUCUUCCCUUGACCACCGUUUGCUAUGUACUCAUCAAUGUGUCAUAUUUAACCGUUUUGACACCCCAAGAAAUCAUUUCUUCUAAUGCGGUAGCUGUGGAUUGGGGCAAUGCAGUCCUGGGUCCUGCCAGUUUCUUGAUUCCACUUGGAGUGGUAAUGUCAGUGUUUGGUACUGCCAACGGCUCCAUGUUUACCGCAGGAAGGAUUUCACACGUAGCUGGAAGGGAAGGACACGCUCCCGACUUUUUAUCCUACAUCCACAUUGAGAAGAAAACACCUGUAGCUCCGAUUUUAUUGAACAGUCUACUAGGAAUACUCAUGAUUAUCCCGGGGGACAUUGGAACACUGAUUGAUUUUUUCGGCUUUACGGCUUCAAUCUUCUACUGUGCCGCAAUGGUGGCGUUGAUAGUAAUGCGAUUCACGAAAAAGAACGAGCAUAGACCCAUUAAGGUACCUAUCAUCAUCCCGAUUAUUGUUAUGUUGGUUUCCGCUAUUCUAGUCGUCGUGCCCAUCGCUGCAGCCCCGCAAGUGCAAUACUUUUAUGCGCUGUGUUUCAUCUUAGCCGGCCUUAUUUUCUACGUACCUUUUGUUUAUUACAAGAAAACGGUACCGGGAAUGAAAUCGUUUACUAUUGUAUGCCAGAAAGCGCUUCAGAUCGCCCCUACAACAGGCCACUAAAUCAAACGACAAAAAUCAAGGAAAGCUUUUCUAUGAAAAACAGCGAGAAUUGUUUUUAUUGAAGCCGUAGUUUCAUUUUGUUUCCAAAGCAGCAGCUCGGAUCCUGUUUAUUUGUAGGGUGACUACAGUAACGUGUUAGGUCCACGUCACCGUUUAAAUGGCAAUAAAAAGAAUUGGCAUUAGAA
RNAcentral lists this unclassified non-coding RNA (2090 nucleotides) under Daphnia pulex (common water flea). RNAcentral's name for it is "b(0,+)-type amino acid transporter 1-like, transcript variant X1". Lineage: Eukaryota; Metazoa; Arthropoda; Branchiopoda; Diplostraca; Daphniidae. The record is from RNAcentral.